UUUGGAGUUACGGUCGCCAUACCUCCAAUAGAUGGUGUCUCGUCGUUUUUCAUGUUAUGGCUGAUUGGGCUGUUUGUCAAAAUGUUUCUUAAUUUUUUCUACGAAAUCUACCGACUAAUUCAUCGCAAGGAACGGGAAAGGAAAGAGUAGCAUACAAGUAGCCUACCAAUCGCUACCACCAACUCUUUUAUUAAAAAUCGUCGUUCUGCUGAAUUCAUUAUCCAGUUCAUGCAGUUUCUAUUGAUCUUGGUAGGUCACUACUCGUCACUACCCCAGUGUGGGCAUGUUUGUUUUUCUGAACAUUCUUUUAAAUAAUGCAUUGGCAUACAAGGAAGCUACGAAAAAUAUAUCAUCUAGGCCAAGGGUAAUCUACAGGUUUAUUGCAGCAGCUUAAGAGAAGAAUGUGAACAAAUGCAGGGCACAUACCAACAUGUGUUGUAUUUUUCUGAAUGUUGAACACAGGCAGUAGAUUCAACAUGACUAACUGUUUGAUGCCAAAGUUAGUUGCCUAGUGGAACUCAACUCACUGUACGUUCUCUAACACAGAUAACUGGUGCUGUUGCCUUACAGCCAAAGGCAGGAAAAUGAUUCUUUUUUUCAGAAAAUUGGAAAGCUGCUGGAGUAAUCUGGUGUUGAUGCACAUUUGAUUCAUUUCGUGCCAGCCAGUGAAAGCCGAAAGACACGUCCAAUUCAAGCUGAGCUGCUGCGUUCUGUCUGGAAGCAAGCAAUCCAGCCGUUGCGCCGUUGAGUCAUUUGAACAGGAAUCUAAUGGCUGUCAAUAGGUGUCUGUCAAAAGUUGGCUGGAAUGUCCACCAGGUAGCGCCAGUGUCUUCAGGGACGCAUUUUGGCCAUUUUGUUCCAAGACACAGCAGAAAUGGUUGCUGGUUGUGACGUUUCUCACGAUGAAAAUUAAAAGGUUAUUUAUCACGUAGAAACCAAUUUGCCAAAUCAUUCAACUCAAACUUGGAAUUGCCUGUACAUUGCCGAAAUUGCGUGCCUCGUGUCUCGCUGCCUGCUCUUAGGCGUA
This 1027-nucleotide long non-coding RNA is filed under the name Daphnia pulicaria. RNAcentral's name for it is "uncharacterized LOC124327395, transcript variant X2". Lineage: Eukaryota; Metazoa; Arthropoda; Branchiopoda; Diplostraca; Daphniidae. The record is from RNAcentral.